GAUGAAGAACGUAGCGAAAUGCGAUAAGUAAUGUGAAUUGCAGAAUUCAGUGAAUCAUCGAAUCUUUGAACGCACCUUGCGCUCCUUGGUAUUCCGAGGAGCAUGCCUGUUUGAGUGUCAUUAAUAUAUCAACCUUCUCUUUUUUGAGUUGUUUGGAUGUGGGGGUUUGCUGGCCUCUUAAAUGAUUCAGCUCCCCUGAAAUGCAUUAGCAGAACAACCUGUUCAUUGGCGUGAUAAUUAUCUAUGCUAUUGAAUGUGAGGGCAGUUCAGCUUUCUAACCGUCCUUGGACAAUUCAUCAUUAAUGUGACCUCAAAUCAGGUAGGACUACCCGCUGAACUUAAGCAUAUCGAUAAGCGGAGGA
Molecule: unclassified non-coding RNA, 362 nt
Filed under: soil metagenome
Description: partial contains 5.8S ribosomal RNA, internal transcribed spacer 2, and large subunit ribosomal RNA
Rfam family: 5.8S ribosomal RNA (bases 1-120)
Source: RNAcentral